GAAACUGGGAAACUUGAGUGCAGAAGAGGACAGUGGAACUCCAUGUGUAGCGGUGAAAUGCGUAGAUAUAUGGAAGAACACCAGUGGCGAAGGCGGCUGUCUGGUCUGUAACUGACGCUGAGGCUCGAAAGCAUGGGUAGCGAACAGGAUUAGAUACCCUGGUAGUCCAUGCCGUAAACGAUGAAUGCUAGGUGUUGGAGGGUUUCCGCCCUUCAGUGCCGCAGCUAACGCAUUAAGCAUUCCGCCUGGGGAGUACGACCGCAAGGUUGAAACUCAAAGGAAUUGACGGGGGCCCGCACAAGCGGUGGAGCAUGUGGUUUAAUUCGAAGCAACGCGAAGAACCUUACCAGGUCUUGACAUCUUUUGAUCACCUGAGAGAUCAGGUUUCCCCUUCGGGGGCAAAAUGACAGGUGGUGCAUGGUUGUCGUCAGCUCGUGUCGUGAGAUGUUGGGUUAAGUCCCGCAACGAGCGCAACCCUUAUGACUAGUUGCCAGCAUUUAGUUGGGCACUCUAGUAAGACUGCCGGUGACAAACCGGAGGAAGGUGGGGAUGACGUCAAAUCAUCAUGCCCCUUAUGACCUGGGCUACACACGUGCUACAAUGGAUGGUACAACGAGUUGCGAGACCGCGAGGUCAAGCUAAUCUCUUAAAGCCAUUCUCAGUUCGGACUGUAGGCUGCAACUCGCCUACACGAAGUCGGAAUCGCUAGUAAUCGCGGAUCAGCACGCCGCGGUGAAUACGUUCCCGGCCCUUGUA
This 756-nucleotide ribosomal RNA is filed under the name Lacticaseibacillus paracasei. RNAcentral describes it as "bacterial SSU rRNA". It matches the Rfam family "Bacterial small subunit ribosomal RNA", at positions 629 to 1385 of the family's 1533-position model. Lineage: Bacteria; Bacillati; Bacillota; Bacilli; Lactobacillales; Lactobacillaceae. The record is from RNAcentral.